Oryzias latipes (Japanese medaka) is the source of this 276-nucleotide non-coding RNA. Lineage: Eukaryota; Metazoa; Chordata; Actinopteri; Beloniformes; Adrianichthyidae. The record is from RefSeq and is a predicted model, not a curated record.
CCAUUUCGUGACGGUUACAAGUACAUCCUAACCGUGGAAAUAACAAGAAACGAGUGCCACCUUCCGGGGCUUGGAAUGUGUCCAAUUUUUCAAAUGGUAUAUCAGUGCACAUUUGUAGUGUUCCACAGUGAGUCGUUCCAACGUUGGGUGCUGCUGGAAUCGAAAUGCUUGUAGGAGAAAACAACAGAUUUUUCUGAACUAAAGUUUCUUGCAGGUUAAUGUGAAAGUGAAACACUAAAAUACCAUUUGGCCAAUAAAACCUUGAGUUGAAAAACA